Long non-coding RNA from Selaginella moellendorffii, 315 nucleotides. RefSeq lists it as uncharacterized. The record is from RefSeq and is a predicted model, not a curated record. Lineage: Eukaryota; Viridiplantae; Streptophyta; Lycopodiopsida; Selaginellales; Selaginellaceae. The transcript is spliced from 2 exons.
CUUAGGGCUAGGGCUAGGGCAAGGGUCCAUUUGCGUUUUUGCGGCGUAGGGAGCGAGAAGCGAGCGAACAAGGAUGAGGGCAAAGUGGAAGAAGAAACGCAUGAGGCGGCUCAAGCGCAAGCGCCGAAAGAUGAGACAGAGAUCCAAGUAGGAGGAGGGAAGCGCCCGCGCCCGGUGAGUGCCAAGUAAGAGUUACUCCACUCUUGGCACAAAUCUUAGCAAAAGGUGUGGCGGCAUUCCUCCCGUUUUUCCUUUCUUCCAAGUCAAAUGUAUUCGAGGCUAUAUUUCAGUAAAAUCUCACUUUGAUCUCGUUUA